UGGUCCUAGCCUUUUUGUCAAAUUUUACUUAACUUACACAUGCAAGUCUCCGCACCCCGGUGAGAACGCCCCUUAACUCCUAAUGGAUCAGGGAGCUGGUAUCAGGCACAAACCUUCGCCCAAGACACCUAGCCUUGCCACACCCACAACGGGCAUUCAGCAGUGAUUAACAUUAAAAAUUAGCGACAGCUAGAUUUAGCUAAAGUAAAUAGAGCCGGCAAACCUGGUGCCAGCCGCCGCGGCUAUACCACGGGGCCCAAUUUGACACUCAUCGGCGUAAAGCGUGAUUAAAGCAACUCUACCAUUAGAGUCAAACUAUGGUUGAACUGUGAUAAGUCCACCAUAAGGAAGCCCAAAAACGAAAGUUACUCUAACAUUCAAACUUGAACUCACGACAGCCUGGGCACAAACUGAGAUUAGAUACCUCACUAUGCCAGACCGUAAACCUUUAACUUACACCACCUCCGCCAGGGUACUACAAGCCAAAGCUUAAAACCCAAAGGGACUUGACGGUGCCCCAUAUCCACCUAGAGGAGCCUGUCCUAUAAUCGAUGAUCCACGUUUAACCUCACCUCUUCUAGCCUCCCAGCCUGUAUACCUCCGUCGCCAGCUCACCGCAUGAGCGCCUAAUAGUGAGCAAGAUGGCCCCUCCGCCAAAACGUCAGGUCAAGGUGCAGCAAAUGAAGCGGGCAGAGAUGGGCUACAUUUUCUAUAUUAGAAAAAUACGAAAGACCGCGUGAAACCCCGUCAGAAGGAGGAUUUAGUAGUAAAGCAGAGACCAAUAAGCUCUCUUUAACAAGGCACAGGGGCAUGUACACACCGCCCGUCGCCCUCUUCAACAGCCAUAAAACAGUAAAUAACUAAUAUUCCGCACUAAGAAGAGGUAAGUCGUAACAUGGUAAGCAUACCGGAAGGUGUACUUGGAAA
This 927-nucleotide non-coding RNA is filed under the name Pseudophryne bibronii (brown toadlet). RNAcentral describes it as "partial 12S ribosomal RNA". It matches the Rfam family "Bacterial small subunit ribosomal RNA". The record is from RNAcentral. Lineage: Eukaryota; Metazoa; Chordata; Amphibia; Anura; Myobatrachidae.